CCUACGGGAGGCAGCAGUGAGGAAUAUUGGUCAAUGGUCGGAAGCCUGAACCAGCCAAGUAGCGUGCGGGAUGAAGGCACUACGGAUCGUAAACCGCUUUUGCCCGGGGAUAACACCCUCCACUUGUGGCGGUCUGCAGGUACCGUGCGAAUAAGGACCGGCUAAUUCCGUGCCAGCAGCCGCGGUAAUACGGAGGGCCCGAGCGUUAUCCGGAUUCAUUGGGCUUAAAGGGAGCGUAGGCGGGCGUUCAAGUCAGCUGUAAAAUCGCGCGGCUCAACCGCGCCCCGCAGUUGAAACUGGAAGCAUUGAGUUAGCAAGAGGUAGGCGGAAGUCGGGGUGUAGCGGUGAAAUGCAUAGAUAUCACGAGGAACCCCGAUUGCGAAGGCAGCCUGCCGGGGUGAGACUGACGCUGAGGCUCGAAGGUGCGGGUAUCAAACAGGAUUAGAUACCCCAGUAGUC
Molecule: ribosomal RNA, 459 nt
Filed under: uncultured bacterium
Lineage: Bacteria
Description: partial 16S ribosomal RNA
Rfam family: Bacterial small subunit ribosomal RNA
Source: RNAcentral